Vicugna pacos (alpaca) is the source of this 144-nucleotide non-coding RNA. The record is from RefSeq and is a predicted model, not a curated record. Lineage: Eukaryota; Metazoa; Chordata; Mammalia; Artiodactyla; Camelidae.
GCUCUUCCGAACUGGAAUAGUAACUUUAUUCGGAAAGCUAGCAGACCAAGGAGAUGGGGGACUUAUGUCCUGGAGAUUCAUCUUGCCCAAGUCAGAAUUCAGGCUCCUUUUAAGCUAAAAAGGGGAGGGGGUGUGUUUGGCUGU